GCAUUAUACCGUGAAACUGCGAAUGGCUCAUUAAAUCAGUUAUCGUUUAUUUGAUAGUACCUUACUACUUGGAUAACCGUGGUAAUUCUAGAGCUAAUACAUGCUAAAAACCCCGACUUCGGAAGGGGUGUAUUUAUUAGAUAAAAAACCAAUGCCCUUCGGGGCUCCUUGGUGAUUCAUAAUAACUUCUCAGAUCGCAUGGCCUUGCGCCGGCGACGGUUCAUUCAAAUUUCUGCCCUAUCAACUUUCGAUGGUAAGGUAUUGGCUUACCAUGGUUUCAACGGGUAACGGGGAAUUAGGGUUCGAUUCCGGAGAGGGAGCCUGAGAAACGGCUACCACAUCCAAGGAAGGCAGCAGGCGCGCAAAUUACCCAAUCCCGACACGGGGAGGUAGUGACAAUAAAUACUGAUACAGGGCUCUUUUGGGUCUUGUAAUUGGAAUGAGUACAAUUUAAACCUCUUAACGAGGAACAAUUGGAGGGCAAGUCUGGUGCCAGCAGCCGCGGUAAUUCCAGCUCCAAUAGCGUAUAUUAAAGUUGUUGCAGUUAAAAAGCUCGUAGUUGAACCUUUGGCCUGGCUGGCAGGUCCGCCUCACCGCGUGCACUUGUCCGGCCGGGCCUUCUCUUCUGGAGAACCGCAUGCCCUUCACUGGGUGUGUUGGGGACCAGGACUUUUACUUUGAAAAAAUUAGAGUGUUCAAAGCAGGCCUUUGCUCGAAUACGUUAGCAUGGAAUAAUAGAAUAGGACGUGCGGUCCUAUUUUGUUGGUUUCUAGGACCGCCGUAAUGAUUAAUAGGGACAGUCGGGGGCAUCAGUAUUCAAUUGUCAGAGGUGAAAUUCUUGGAUUUAUUGAAGACUAACUACUGCGAAAGCAUUUGCCAAGGAUGUUUUCAUUAAUCAGUGAACGAAAGUUA
RNAcentral lists this ribosomal RNA (912 nucleotides) under Towyspora aestuari. Its description in RNAcentral is "SSU rRNA". It matches the Rfam family "Eukaryotic small subunit ribosomal RNA", at positions 71 to 992 of the family's 1831-position model. The record is from RNAcentral. Lineage: Eukaryota; Fungi; Ascomycota; Dothideomycetes; Pleosporales; Lentitheciaceae.